Molecule: transfer RNA, 84 nt
Filed under: Calanthe alpina
Lineage: Eukaryota; Viridiplantae; Streptophyta; Magnoliopsida; Asparagales; Orchidaceae
Also listed under: 1 other name
Description: tRNA-Tyr
Rfam family: tRNA
About the family: Transfer RNA (tRNA) molecules are approximately 80 nucleotides in length. Their secondary structure includes four short double-helical elements and three loops (D, anti-codon, and T loops).
Source: RNAcentral
GGGUCGAUGCCCGAGCGGUUAAUGGGGACGGACUGUAAAUUCGUUGGCGAGAUGCCUACGCUGGUUCAAAUCCAGCUCGGCCCA